Molecule: ribosomal RNA, 305 nt
Filed under: uncultured bacterium
Lineage: Bacteria
Description: bacterial SSU rRNA
Rfam family: Bacterial small subunit ribosomal RNA
Source: RNAcentral
UGUGCCUACGGGACGCAGCAGUGAGGAAUAUUGGUCAAUGGGAGAGAUCCUGAACCAGCCAAGCCGCGUGAGGGAAGACGGCCCUAUGGGUUGUAAACCUCUUUUGUCGGAGAACAAAACCCGGGACGAGUCCCGGACUGCGUGUAUCCGAAGAAAAAGCAUCGGCUAACUCCGUGCCAGCAGCCGCGGUAAUACGGAGGAUGCGAGCGUUAUCCGGAUUUAUUGGGUUUAAAGGGUGCGUAGGCGGAAUGCCAAGUCAGUGGUAAAAUCGCGGGGCUGAACCUGGCUACGCCGUUGAAACUGGG